Molecule: ribosomal RNA, 254 nt
Filed under: uncultured bacterium
Lineage: Bacteria
Description: partial 16S ribosomal RNA
Rfam family: Bacterial small subunit ribosomal RNA
Source: RNAcentral
UACGUAGGGUGCAAGCGUUGUCCGGAAUUAUUGGGCGUAAAGAGCUCGUAGGCGGUGUGUCGCGUCGGCCGUGAAAACCUGCAGCUUAACUGUGGGCUUGCGGUCGAUACGGGCAUCACUGGAGUUCGGCAGGGGAGACUGGAAUUCCUGGUGUAGCGGUGAAAUGCGCAGAUAUCGAGAGGAACACCUGCGGCGAAGGCGGGUUGCUGGGCUGACACUGACGCUGAUGCGCGAAAGCUAGGGGAGCGAACGGG